UCCAAGCCCACCAAAUUAAUUAAUUUCCAUGUGGCAAAUUAAUUAUAAAGGGAUCAUUAUCCCUUAGAUGAUUCAAGAAACUUAGAAGGAGAAAGAACAAACAAAACAAGAGCAAAAAAAAGGGCCAUUUCGGGUUUGGCCAUAGAAAAUUCACCCCUCCAAAUCUUCCUCCAAAAAUUAUUUUCUUGUGGUAUUCCUACUAAUUUAAGGGUCCUUUACAACUUGGUGUAAUUGUUUUGGAAGAAGGAGCACUUAUUUCUUCAAGUUGACAACUUGUUCAAGUGAAGGAGUUGUAGAAAAAGAUUUUGGGCGAAACGGGAAUUGAAUUUGGAAAGGCGUAAAGAGCAUAUAAGGUACCGACGACAGGUUUGCUGAUCCGUCCGCUUAGGAUCUUAUUCUGCUAUUUUGGAGCGCUCCUUUAUCCGGAGCCUAUAUUUUGUGAUGCCUCCGAAAAAGGCGACGGCUGCCCAGAAGAAAAAGGGCGUGGUAGGAGAGACCAGCCGGGCUCAGAAGGGUACUCGGACCCUUGCUCAGAUGA
Long non-coding RNA from Lycium barbarum (goji berry), 538 nucleotides. RefSeq lists it as uncharacterized. The transcript is spliced from 4 exons. The record is from RefSeq and is a predicted model, not a curated record. Lineage: Eukaryota; Viridiplantae; Streptophyta; Magnoliopsida; Solanales; Solanaceae.